AACGAACGCUGGCGGCAUGCCUAACACAUGCAAGUCGAGCGAACAGAUAAGGAGCUUGCUCCUCUGACGUUAGCGGCGGACGGGUGAGUAACACGUGGGUAACCUACCUAUAAGACUGGGAUAACUUCGGGAAACCGGAGCUAAUACCGGAUAACAUUUGGAACCGCAUGGUUCUAAAGUGAAAGAUGGUUUUGCUAUCACUUAUAGAUGGACCCGCGCCGUAUUAGCUAGUUGGUAAGGUAACGGCUUACCAAGGCGACGAUACGUAGCCGACCUGAGAGGGUGAUCGGCCACACUGGAACUGAGACACGGUCCAGACUCCUACGGGAGGCAGCAGUAGGGAAUCUUCCGCAAUGGGCGAAAGCCUGACGGAGCAACGCCGCGUGAGUGAUGAAGGGUUUCGGCUCGUAAAACUCUGUUAUUAGGGAAGAACAAAUGUGUAAGUAACUGUGCACAUCUUGACGGUACCUAAUCAGAAAGCCACGGCUAACUACGUGCCAGCCGCCGCAGUAA
Molecule: ribosomal RNA, 513 nt
Filed under: uncultured bacterium
Lineage: Bacteria
Description: partial 16S ribosomal RNA
Rfam family: Bacterial small subunit ribosomal RNA
Source: RNAcentral